GUCUGGGUGGUGUAGUUGGUUAUCACGCUAGUCUUACACACUUGAGGUCCCAGUCCAAACCUGGGCUUAGACA
Non-coding RNA from Cucurbita maxima (winter squash), 73 nucleotides. The record is from the annotation of a RefSeq genome assembly. Lineage: Eukaryota; Viridiplantae; Streptophyta; Magnoliopsida; Cucurbitales; Cucurbitaceae.